AAUAUUCGACAAUGGGGGCAACCCUGAUCCAUCCAUGCCGCGUGUGUGAAGAAGGUCUUCGGAUUUUAAAGCACUUUAAGUUGGGAGGAAGGGCUUUAGGUUAAUACCCUGAAGUUUUGACGUUACCAACAGAAUAAGCACCGUCUAACUCUGUGCCAGCAGCCUCGGUAAUACAUAGGGUGCAAGCGUUAAUCGGAAUUACUGGGCGUAAAGCGCGCGUAGGUGGUUAAGUAAGAUGGGUGUGAACUCCCCGGGCUUAACCUGGGAUCUGCUUUCAUAACUGCUGAGCUAGAGUACGGUAGAGGGUAGUGGAAUUUCCUGUGUAGCGGUGAAAUGCGUAGAUAUAGGAAGGAACACCAGUGGCGAAGGCGACUACCUGGACUGAUACUGACACUGAGGUGCGAAAGCGUGGGGAGCAAA
Molecule: ribosomal RNA, 420 nt
Filed under: uncultured bacterium
Lineage: Bacteria
Description: partial 16S ribosomal RNA
Rfam family: Bacterial small subunit ribosomal RNA
Source: RNAcentral